UACGUAGGGUGCGAGCGUUUGUCCGGAAUUAUUGGGCGUAAAGAGCUCGUAGGCGGUGUGUCACGUCGGCCGUGAAAACCUGGGGCUUAACUCUGGGCGUGCGGUCGAUACGGGCAUCACUAGAGUUCGGCAGGGGAGACUGGAAUUCCUGGUGUAGCGGUGAAAUGCGCAGAUAUCAGGAGGAACACCGGUGGCGAAGGCGGGUCUCUGGGCCGAUGACUGACGCUGAGGAGCGAAAGCAUGGGUAGCGAACAGG
This 256-nucleotide ribosomal RNA is filed under the name uncultured bacterium. RNAcentral describes it as "partial 16S ribosomal RNA". It matches the Rfam family "Bacterial small subunit ribosomal RNA", at positions 524 to 776 of the family's 1533-position model. The record is from RNAcentral.